RNAcentral lists this long non-coding RNA (1339 nucleotides) under Lynx pardinus (Iberian lynx). The record is from RNAcentral. Lineage: Eukaryota; Metazoa; Chordata; Mammalia; Carnivora; Felidae.
GAGGCUUUAACUGAGCCACACAGGUACCCCAAAUCCUUUCCUUUUCUACAGCUCUAUGGAGCUCCUUUCUAUUUGCUAGAUGGGAUACUGCCCUUGUCAUGAAACAUUUAAUAAAGCCAAUUAGAUCUUUAAAAUUUACUCAGUUGAAUUUUUGUUAUUUAACAGGGGAAGAGGAGAGCUGAUGGAAUUAAGCCUCUACCCCCACCCCCUCUUUGCUGUUUUCCUCCACCAACGUGGUGGACCAAUGCCCUGAACAGUUCAUCUUCAAGUAGUUUAGCACCCUGAGUUCUGGGAUGAAGAUGAAAUGAAAUGAAAACAAUACCACCUUUCAUGAAAAUGAAAAUACCACCAAUACCACCACUGCAAGGCUGUUGGGAGUGUUGACAAGGAAGCCAUAGGCCCAAGGUGGAGUCACUGGCCCCAGGACAGCAGAUCAAGACUUAAUUGCAGUUUCAAUUUCUCCAGGGGUAGAAUUCUUUUUUUUCCUUUUUCUUUUUCUUUGAGAGAGAGAAAUGGUGUGUAUGCGCAUGCACACGAUUCAGAGGGGCAGAAAGAGAAACCCUAGCAGGCUCCAGGCCGAUGUUAAAAAUUUUUAAUCUUUAAAACAACAACAACAACAAAAAUGGGGUGCUGGGUGACCCAGUCAGUUAAGCAUCCAACUUUGGCUCAGUUCAUGAUCUUGUGGUUGGUGGGUUCGAGCCCCGCGUUAGGCUCUGUACUGUGACAGGGGGAGCCUGGAGCCUGCUUUGGGUUCUGCAUCUCCCUCUUUCUGUGCUCCUCCCCUGCUCACACUGUCUUUCUCUCUCAUUCAAAAAUAAACAUUAAAAACCAUUAUUUUCUAGUAAUCUCCACACCCAACACGGGGUUUGACCUCAUAACCCAGAGACCAAGAGUCAUGUGCUUUACCGACUGAGCCAGCCAGGUGUCCCAAAUAUAAAAUCUUAAAAAAAAAGAAAAGAAAAGAAAAGAAAUUUGCCUGUGAACAGAAGAUGGACAGUAGCCAGAAGGGAUGAAAGUUGGGAGUGUCUAUUGGAGAGGAAGUUGAGUAUCUGAGGGUUACAAAGGCAUGGUAAAAGUGUGCACCAAGGAUAGAGACUGAGAGCCAGCACUAUAGUGGAAGUUGAGAGCAAGAUUAUUAAGGGAAUCAUUUGAAGAUAAAUUUUGAACUUUGAUAUAAUCUUUGUUAGGUUAGGUGUGGGAAAUGCAAUCCAGCAAGACAGGUAUUAUCUCUACUGAUAAGAGAUGAGACUAAGACAGUCAGAGAAAGACAGAUACCAUGUGUUUUCACUCAUAUGUGGAUCUUGAAAAACUUAACAGACCAUGGGGGAGGGGAAGGGGA